CGCCGUAUAGAGGCGUAACAAGGUUUCCGUAGGUGAACCUGCGGAAGGAUCAUUACAGUAUUCUUUUGCCAGCGCUUAACUGCGCGGCGAAAAACCUUACACACAGUGUCUUUUUGAUACAGAACUCUUGCUUUGGUUUGGCCUAGAGAUAGGUUGGGCCAGAGGUUUAACAAAACACAAUUUAAUUAUUUUUACAGUUAGUCAAAUUUUGAAUUAAUCUUCAAAACUUUCAACAACGGAUCUCUUGGUUCUCGCAUCGAUGAAGAACGCAGCGAAAUGCGAUAAGUAAUAUGAAUUGCAGAUUUUCGUGAAUCAUCGAAUCUUUGAACGCACAUUGCGCCCUCUGGUAUUCCAGAGGGCAUGCCUGUUUGAGCGUCAUUUCUCUCUCAAACCCCCGGGUUUGGUAUUGAGUGAUACUCUUAGUCGGACUAGGCGUUUGCUUGAAAAGUAUUGGCAUGGGUAGUACUAGAUAGUGCUGUCGACCUCUCAAUGUAUUAGGUUUAUCCAACUCGUUGAAUGGUGUGGCGGGAUAUUUCUGGUAUUGUUGGCCCGGCCUUACAACAACCAAACAAGUUUGACCUCAAAUCAGGUAGGAAUACCCGCUGAACUUAAGCAUAUCAAA
RNAcentral lists this ribosomal RNA (622 nucleotides) under Meyerozyma guilliermondii. Its description in RNAcentral is "eukaryotic LSU rRNA". The stretch from base 225 to 378 matches the Rfam family "5.8S ribosomal RNA". The record is from RNAcentral. Lineage: Eukaryota; Fungi; Ascomycota; Pichiomycetes; Serinales; Debaryomycetaceae.